RNAcentral lists this ribosomal RNA (517 nucleotides) under uncultured bacterium. RNAcentral describes it as "bacterial SSU rRNA". It matches the Rfam family "Bacterial small subunit ribosomal RNA", at positions 29 to 518 of the family's 1533-position model. The record is from RNAcentral.
ACGAACGCUGGCGGCGUGCCUAAUACAUGCAAGUCGAACGGUCUUUCUAUGGAAGCUUGCUUCCACUGAGAAGAUAGUGGCGGACGGGUGAGUAACACGUGGGUAACCUGCCCAUAAGAGGGGGGUAACAUCCGGAAACGGGUGCUAAUACCGCAUAGUUUUCUUGAUCGUAUGAUUGAGAAAGGAAAGACGGCCUUUGUGCUGUCGCUUAUGGAUGGACCCGCGGCGUAUUAGUUAGUUGGUGAGGUAAUGGCUCACCAAGACGAUGAUACGUAGCCGACCUGAGAGGGUGAUCGGCCACAUUGGGACUGAGACGCGGCCCAAACUCCUACGGGAGGCAGCAGUAGGGAAUCUUCCGCAAUGGACGAAAGUCUGACGGAGCAACGCCGCGUGAGUGAAGAAGGUUUUCGGGAAUCGUAAAACUCUGUUGUCAGAGAAGAACAAGUUGGAGAGUAACUGCUCCAGCCUUGACGGUAUCUGACCAGAAAGCCACGGCUAACUACGUGCCAGCAGCAGC